Molecule: ribosomal RNA, 468 nt
Filed under: uncultured bacterium
Lineage: Bacteria
Description: partial 16S ribosomal RNA
Rfam family: Bacterial small subunit ribosomal RNA
Source: RNAcentral
GAUGAACGCUGGCGGCGUGCUUAACACAUGUAAGUCGAAUCGAAAGUCCCUGCUUUUGUGGUGUGCUCGAGUGGCGAACGGGUGAGUAACACGUGAGUAACCUGCCCUUGACUUUGGGAUAAUUUCAGGAAACUCGGGCUAAUACCGUACAUGAGCUUCUCCUGCACUGUGGGGUUUGGAAAGAUUCGGCGGUUGGGGAUGGUCUCCCGGCUUGUCAGUUUGUUGGUGGGGUGGUGGCUUACCAAGGCUUUGUCGGGUAGCCGGCCUGAGAAGGUGACCGGCCACAUUGGCACUGAGGUACUGCACAGACUGCUACGGGAGCCAGAGGUGUGGGAUAUUCAACAAUGCGCGGAAGACGAAUGCAACAACGCCGCGCGCGGGAUGACCGCUUACGGGUUGUAACCCGCUUUCGCCUGCAACGAAGCGUGGGUGACGAUACUGGGUAAAGAAGCACCGCCUAACUAGGUG